CCAUCAUGCUAGUUGGUGGGGUAAAGGCCCACCAAGGCAUCGAUCAGUAGCUGGUCUGAGAGGACGACCAGCCACACUGGAACUGAGACACGGUCCAGACUCCUACGGGAGGCAGCAGUGGGGAAUUUUGGACAAUGGGCGCAAGCCUGAUCCAGCAAUGCCGCGUGAGUGAAGAAGGCCUUCGGGUUGUAAAGCUCUUUUGUCAGGGAAGAAACGGCCUGUUCUAAUAAAGUGGGCUAAUGACGGUACCUGAAGAAUAAGCACCGGCUAACUACGUGCCAGCAGCCGCGGUAAUACGUAGGGUGCAAGCGUUAAUCGGAAUUACUGGGCGUAAAGCGUGCGCAGGCGGUUUUGUAAGUUUGUCGUGAAAUCCCCGGGCUCAACCUGGGAAUGGCGAUGAAGACUGCAAGGCUAGAGUUUGGCAGAGGGGGGUAGAAUUCCACGUGUAGCAGUGAAAUGCGUAGAUAUGUGGAGGAACACCGAUGGCGAAGGCAGCCCCCUGGGUCAAAACUGACGCUCAUGCACGAAAGCGUGGGGAGCAAACAGGAUUAGAUACCCUGGUAGUCCACGCCCUAAACGAUGUCUACUAGUUGCCGGGGUCUUAAUUGACUUGGUAACGCAGCUAACGCGUGAAGUAGACCGCCUGGGG
Molecule: ribosomal RNA, 649 nt
Filed under: uncultured Oxalobacteraceae bacterium
Lineage: Bacteria; Pseudomonadati; Pseudomonadota; Betaproteobacteria; Burkholderiales; Oxalobacteraceae
Description: bacterial SSU rRNA
Rfam family: Bacterial small subunit ribosomal RNA
Source: RNAcentral